UACGAAGGGGGCUAGCGUUGCUCGGAAUCACUGGGCGUAAAGCGCACGUAGGCGGAUCUUUAAGUCAGGGGUGAAAUCCCGGGGCUCAACCUCGGAACUGCCUCUGAUACAGCAGGUCUUGAGUCCGGAAGAGGUGGGUGGAAUUCCUAGUGUAGAGGUGAAAUUCGUAGAUAUUAGGAAGAACACCAGUGGCGAAGGCGGCCCACUGGUCCGGUACUGACGCUGAGGUGCGAAAGCGUGGGGAGCAAACAGG
RNAcentral lists this ribosomal RNA (253 nucleotides) under uncultured bacterium. Its description in RNAcentral is "partial 16S ribosomal RNA". It matches the Rfam family "Bacterial small subunit ribosomal RNA", at positions 524 to 776 of the family's 1533-position model. The record is from RNAcentral.